GUAGGGAAUCUUGCGCAAUGGGCGAAAGCCUGACGCAGCCAUGCCGCGUGAAUGAUGAAGGUCUUAGGAUUGUAAAAUUCUUUCACCGGGGACGAUAAUGACGGUACCCGGAGAAGAAGCCCCGGCUAACUUCGUGCCAGCAGCCGCGGUAAUACGAAGGGGGCUAGCGUUGCUCGGAAUUACUGGGCGUAAAGGGCGCGUAGGCGGACAGUUUAGUCAGAGGUGAAAGCCCAGGGCUCAACCUUGGAAUUGCCUUUGAUACUGGCUGUCUUGAGUACGGGAGAGGUGAGUGGAACUCCGAGUGUAGAGGUGAAAUUCGUAGAUAUUCGGAAGAACACCAGUGGCGAAGGCGACUCACUGGCCCGUUACUGACGCUGAGGCGCGAAAGCGUGGGGAGCAAACAGGAUUAGAAACCCUUGUAGUCC
RNAcentral lists this ribosomal RNA (425 nucleotides) under uncultured bacterium. RNAcentral describes it as "partial 16S ribosomal RNA". It matches the Rfam family "Bacterial small subunit ribosomal RNA", at positions 354 to 796 of the family's 1533-position model. The record is from RNAcentral.